GAAACGGCGUCCCAGUUCGGAUUGCAGCCUGCAACUCGGCUGCAUGAAGCUGGAAUCGCUAGUAAUCGCGGAUCAGAAUGCCGCGGUGAAUACGUUCCCGGGUCUUGUACACACCGCCCGUCACACCAUGGGAGUCGGGAAUGCCCGAAGUCAGUGACCCAACCGAAAGGGGGAGCUGCCGAAGGCAGGCCUGGUAACUGGGGUGAAGUCGUAACAAGGUAAC
Molecule: ribosomal RNA, 223 nt
Filed under: uncultured bacterium
Lineage: Bacteria
Description: partial 16S ribosomal RNA
Rfam family: Bacterial small subunit ribosomal RNA
Source: RNAcentral